AGUGAACGCUGGCGGUAGGCCUAACACAUGCAAGUCGAACGGCAGCACAGUAAGAGCUUGCUCUUACGGGUGGCGAGUGGCGGACGGGUGAGGAAUACAUCGGAAUCUACUUUUUCGUGGGGGAUAACGUAGGGAAACUUACGCUAAUACCGCAUACGACCUACGGGUGAAAGCAGGAGAUCUUCGCACCUUGCGCGAUUGAAUGAGCCGAUGUCGGAUUAGCUAGUUGGCGGGGUAAAGGCCCACCAAGGCGACGAUCCGUAGCUGGUCUGAGAGGAUGAUCAGCCACACUGGAACUGAGACACGGUCCAGACUCCUACGGGAGGCAGCAGUGGGGAAUAUUGGACAAUGGGCGCAAGCCUGAUCCAGCCAUACCGCGUGGGUGAAGAAGGCCUUCGGGUUGUAAAGCCCUUUUGUUGGGAAAGAAAAGCAGCAGGUUAAUACCCCGCUGUUCUGACGGUACCCAAAGAAUAAGCACCGGCUAACUUCGUG
Molecule: ribosomal RNA, 492 nt
Filed under: uncultured bacterium
Lineage: Bacteria
Description: partial 16S ribosomal RNA
Rfam family: Bacterial small subunit ribosomal RNA
Source: RNAcentral